ACACCUGCCCGGUGCUGGAAGGUUAAGUGGAGGGUUUAGUACGCCUUUGGCGUACGAAGAUCUCAAAUGAAGCCCCAGUAAACGGCGGCCGUAACAAUAACGGUCCUAAGGUAGCGAAAUUCCUUGUCGGGUAAGUUCCGACCUGCACGAAUGGUGUAACGAUUUGGAUACUGUCUCAGCCAUGAGCUCGGUGAAAUUGUAGUAUCGGUGAAGAUGCCGAUUACCCGCAGUGGGACGAAAAGACCCCGUGAACCUUUACUAUAGCUUAGUAUUGGCUUUGGAUAAGUAAUGUGUAGGAUAGGUGGGAGACUUCGACCGUGCGUCGCCAGGCGUGCGUGAGUCAUUGUUGAAAUACCACCCUUUGCUUAUCUAGAGUCUAACCCAGCAAUGGGGACAGUGCUUGGUGGGUAGUUUGACUGGGGUGGUCGCCUCCAAAAGAGUAACGGAGGCUUCUAAAGGUUCCCUCAGCACGCUUGGUAACCGUGCGCAGAGUGCAAUGGCAUAAGGGAGCUUGACUGAGAGACAUACAGGUCGAUCAGGUACGAAAGUAGAGCAUAGUGAUCCGGUGGUUCCGCAUGGAAGGGCCAUCGCUCAAAGGAUAAAAGGUACUCCGGGGAUAACAGGCUGAUCUCCCCCAAGAGCUCACAUCGACGGGGGGGUUUGGCACCUCGAUGUCGGCUCGUCACAUCCUGGGGCUGGAGAAGGUCCCAAGGGUUGGGCUGUUCGCCCAUUAAAGUGGCACGCGAGCUGGGUUCAGAACGUCGCAAGACAGUUCGGUCCCUAUCUGUUGCGGGCGUAGGAAUAUUGAGGAGAGCUAUCACUAGUACGAGAGGACCGUGAUGGACGUACCGCUAGUGUACCUGUUGUGUCGCCAGAUGCAUCGCAGGGUAGCUAUGUACGGAAUGGAUAAGCGCUGAAAGCAUCUAAGCGCGAAGCCAACUCCAAGAUGAGUAUUCCAUCCACGUUUCGGCGUGGUGAAGGGUCGUGGGAGAUGACCACGUUGAUAGGUUACAGGUGGAAGUGCAGUGAUGUAUGAAGCCGAGUAAUACUAAUUACCCGAUAGCUUCCUUUU
This 1072-nucleotide ribosomal RNA is filed under the name Crepidula atrasolea. Its description in RNAcentral is "bacterial LSU rRNA". It matches the Rfam family "Bacterial large subunit ribosomal RNA", at positions 1855 to 2925 of the family's 2925-position model. Lineage: Eukaryota; Metazoa; Mollusca; Gastropoda; Littorinimorpha; Calyptraeidae. The record is from RNAcentral.